CGGGUGAGUAACGCGUGGGCAACCUGCCUUACACAGGGGGAUAACACUUAGAAAUAGGUGCUAAUACCGCAUAAGCGCACAGCUUUGCAUGAAGCAGUGUGAAAAACUCCGGUGGUGUAAGAUGGACCCGCGUCUGAUUAGCUGGUUGGCAGGGUAAAGGCCUACCAAGGCGACGAUCAGUAGCCGGCCUGAGAGGGUGAACGGCCACAUUGGGACUGAGACACGGCCCAGACUCCUACGGGAGGCAGCAG
This 251-nucleotide ribosomal RNA is filed under the name uncultured bacterium. RNAcentral's name for it is "partial 16S ribosomal RNA". It matches the Rfam family "Bacterial small subunit ribosomal RNA", at positions 103 to 354 of the family's 1533-position model. The record is from RNAcentral.